RNAcentral lists this small nuclear RNA (23 nucleotides) under Arabidopsis thaliana (thale cress). RNAcentral describes it as "snRNA_00233". Lineage: Eukaryota; Viridiplantae; Streptophyta; Magnoliopsida; Brassicales; Brassicaceae. The record is from RNAcentral.
UUAUGGGUUGAUCCAACCCAUUU